Molecule: ribosomal RNA, 120 nt
Filed under: uncultured bacterium
Lineage: Bacteria
Description: partial 16S ribosomal RNA
Rfam family: Bacterial small subunit ribosomal RNA
Source: RNAcentral
GACGAACGCUGGCGGCGUGCUUAACACAUGCAAGUGGAGCGACGAACCAGGCUUCGGCCUGGGGCAGAGCCGCGAACGGGUGAGUAACACGUGGGUAACGUGCCCCAAUGAUCGGGACAA